UCUAGAUUCGAGAACAAAUGUGGUGGCUUAUUUUAUUCAGCAUAACCGCUCGAAUUCUCAUUAUGAAUGGAACAAUGGAGCACUUAUUUGGCAAGAGAAUAGUAUUCCACAUGAUUCUGCUGUUACACUUUUCGAAGAGAAGCCCGUUCCUAAGUCAUUAUCCGUGACGAUGUGUGGAUUAGCUGGUCGGUGGAAUUAUUCUCACAAUAGCUUGCUUCUCGUUCAAUGUUAUUUGGAGAAAUCACAGGAUAGUGAAAAUGUCAUCACCAAACAUAAACAGUGUUUUACUUGUUGGUUGUCUAUUACUGUAUGUAACUAUAAUUAUCAAGACAACGGCAACGACCAUCAAAGAAAUGUGUGCGGU
Molecule: long non-coding RNA, 364 nt
Organism: Dreissena polymorpha
Lineage: Eukaryota; Metazoa; Mollusca; Bivalvia; Myida; Dreissenidae
Exons: 3
Source: RefSeq, a predicted model, not a curated record